CAGAGCCAGCAGCCAGUUCAAAUGGAAAAGAAGACAUAGUGGCUUCAGGCAAACCCUGCAGGGAGUCCCCACCACCUUCUGCAGCGGGUAACAGGAGUGGCAGACGUUUUGUACUUAUCCUUGACUUUACCAGGCAGUUUGGACAUCUCAGGAUCUGAAAGAAAUUCCUGUUUCCUGAGCCUAAUGGGAACCAGAACACUCCAGAUCUGGUGAGCCACCAUGGUGGUGCUGAAUUGUCCUGUUGCUCUAUGGCUUCUCAAGGUUGUAUCAUAAUGCUGUUUCUACUUUCCAUCACUUCCCCCUGAUGUCCUGACCCCCAAGAUGGGAAACCCUUUCUGUGCGUCCUCAUUCCACAGUGCUCUCUCUUGAUGCCAUGGCUCUUUCUGUUGAGUAUAGAAGAGCAUGCUCGUUGCUCUCACAGGAUGUAAAGC
RNAcentral lists this long non-coding RNA (431 nucleotides) under Calidris pugnax (ruff). RNAcentral describes it as "lncRNA (ENSCPUG00000009031.1)". Lineage: Eukaryota; Metazoa; Chordata; Aves; Charadriiformes; Scolopacidae. The record is from RNAcentral.